UACUCCUACGGGAGGCAGCAGUGAGGAAUAUUGGACAAUGGUCGGAAGACUGAUCCAGCCAUGCCGCGUGAAGGGAAAGGUCCUAUGGAUUUUCAACUUCUUUUGUACGGGGGCAAUAAGGUCCACGCGUGGGCCGAUGAGAGUACCGUACGAAUAAGCAUCGGCUAACUCCGUGCCAGCAGCCGCGGUAAUACGGAGGAUGCGAGCGUUAUCCGGAUUUAUUGGGUUUAAAGGGUGCGUAGGCGGAUUUUCAAGUCAGUGGUGAAAUACCCGGGCCAAACCCGGGAGCUGCCGUUGAAACUGGGAGUCUGGGAUACGGUUGCCGUGGGAGGAAUGAGUAGUGUAGCGGUGAAAUGCAUAGAUAUUACUCAGAGCACCGAUUGCGAAAGCAUCUCACGAAGCCGUCAUUGACGCUGAGGCACGAAAGUGUGGGGAUCGAACAGGAUUAGAUACCCUGGUAGUCACGGGGGUACUCCUACGGGAGGCAGCAGGAUUAGAUACCCUGGUAGUCA
Molecule: ribosomal RNA, 512 nt
Filed under: uncultured microorganism
Description: bacterial SSU rRNA
Rfam family: Bacterial small subunit ribosomal RNA
Source: RNAcentral